UUUAUGGAGAGUUUGAUCCUGGCUCAGAGUGAACGCUGGCGGCGUGCCUAAUACAUGCAAGUCGAACGAUGAAGCUUCUAGCUUGCUAGAAGUGGAUUAGUGGCGCACGGGUGAGUAACGCAUAGGUCAUGUGCCUCUUAGUUUGGGAUAGCCAUUGGAAACGAUGAUUAAUACCAGAUACUCCCUACGGGGGAAAGAUUUAUCGCUAAGAGAUCAGCCUAUGUCCUAUCAGCUUGUUGGUAAGGUAAUGGCUUACCAAGGCUAUGACGGGUAUCCGGCCUGAGAGGGUGAACGGACACACUGGAACUGAGACACGGUCCAGACUCCUACGGGAGGCAGCAGUAGGGAAUAUUGCUCAAUGGGGGAAACCCUGAAGCAGCAACGCCGCGUGGAGGAUGAAGGUUUUAGGAUUGUAAACUCCUUUUGUUAGAGAAGAUAAUGACGGUAUCUAACGAAUAAGCACCGGCUAACUCCGUGCCAGCAGCCGCGGUAAUACGGAGGGUGCAAGCGUUACUCGGAAUCACUGGGCGUAAAGAGCGCGUAGGCGGGAUAGUCAGUCAGGUGUGAAAUCCUAUGGCUUAACCAUAGAACUGCAUUUGAAACUACUAUUCUAGAGUGUGGGAGAGGUAGGUGGAAUUCUUGGUGUAGGGGUAAAAUCCGUAGAGAUCAAGAGGAAUACUCAUUGCGAAGGCGACCUGCUGGAACAUUACUGACGCUGAUUGCGCGAAAGCGUGGGGAGCAAACAGGAUUAGAUACCCUGGUAGUCCACGCCCUAAACGAUGGAUGCUAGUUGUUGGAGGGCUUAGUCUCUCCAGUAAUGCAGCUAACGCAUUAAGCAUCCCGCCUGGGGAGUACGGUCGCAAGAUUAAAACUCAAAGGAAUAGACGGGGACCCGCACAAGCGGUGGAGCAUGUGGUUUAAUUCGAAGAUACACGAAGAACCUUACCUAGGCUUGACAUUGAGAGAAUCCGCUAGAAAUAGUGGAGUGUCUAGCUUGCUAGACCUUGAAAACAGGUGCUGCACGGCUGUCGUCAGCUCGUGUCGUGAGAUGUUGGGUUAAGUCCCGCAACGAGCGCAACCCCCUUUCUUAGUUGCUAACAGGUCAUGCUGAGAACUCUAAGGAUACUGCCUCCGUAAGGAGGAGGAAGGUGGGGACGACGUCAAGUCAUCAUGGCCCUUACGCCUAGGGCUACACACGUGCUACAAUGGGGUGCACAAAGAGAAGCAAUACUGCGAAGUGGAGCCAAUCUUCAAAACGCCUCUCAGUUCGGAUUGUAGGCUGCAACUCGCCUGCAUGAAGCUGGAAUCGCUAGUAAUCGCAAAUCAGCCAUGUUGCGGUGAAUACGUUCCCGGGUCUUGUACUCACCGCCCGUCACACCAUGGGAGUUGUGUUUGCCUUAAGUCAGGAUGCUAAACUAGCUACUGCCCACGGCACACACAGCGACUGGGGUGAAGUCGUAACAAGGUAACCGUAGGUGAACCUGCGGUUGGAUCACCUCCUUU
RNAcentral lists this ribosomal RNA (1503 nucleotides) under Helicobacter pylori. RNAcentral's name for it is "bacterial SSU rRNA". It matches the Rfam family "Bacterial small subunit ribosomal RNA". The record is from RNAcentral. RNAcentral also lists the same sequence under 1 other name. Lineage: Bacteria; Pseudomonadati; Campylobacterota; Epsilonproteobacteria; Campylobacterales; Helicobacteraceae.